Molecule: small RNA, 255 nt
Filed under: Arabidopsis thaliana (thale cress)
Lineage: Eukaryota; Viridiplantae; Streptophyta; Magnoliopsida; Brassicales; Brassicaceae
Description: ATSL132060
Source: RNAcentral
UAUGUUAAAAAAAAACUGAACUUUGAUCAGAUUGAUAGAAGAAACGAAAAACUAAAUAAUAAGCUAGCAACAUGUAUACUAUUUCCCUUUUUUUAGAGUUUCUAAGCCAAUCAGAAGGCUCUAUUUCGUACCCACUCGCAUAAAGAGCGCGUUGCGCGAGUGAGAGCAAUUCUGUGGGUAAAACCCCUUUCCAAUUCAAGCCUUUUUCUAUCGACGGAUUUCUAUCCAAAUUCUCCAUCGCGUGACUUUUUUGUU